CCAGCUCCAAUAGCGUAUAUUAAAGUUGUUGCAGUUAAAAAGCUCGUAGUUGGAUUUCUGGCAGGCUAGUUUCCGCCUCCUUGUGGAUGCGCGGUGGUAGCCUACCAUCCUUCUGUUAACCCAGCAGCUCUUCACGGGGCUGCUGCGGGGCUCAGAUAUUUUACCUUGAGAAAAUUAGAGUGUUUCAGGCAGGCUAGCGCCGGAAUACAUUAGCAUGGAAUAAUAGAAUAGGACUUUUACCUCUUCUGUUGGUCUGAGGGGUUCAAGUAAUGAUUAAUAGGGAUAGUUGGGGGCAUUAGUACUUAACUGUCAGAGGUGAAAUUCUCGGAUUUGUUAAAGACUAACUUAUGCGAAAGCAUUUGCCAAGGAUGUUUUCA
RNAcentral lists this ribosomal RNA (377 nucleotides) under Choreotrichia sp. RNAcentral's name for it is "SSU rRNA". It matches the Rfam family "Eukaryotic small subunit ribosomal RNA", at positions 585 to 972 of the family's 1831-position model. Lineage: Eukaryota; Ciliophora; Spirotrichea. RNAcentral also lists the same sequence under 1 other name. The record is from RNAcentral.